This 467-nucleotide ribosomal RNA is filed under the name uncultured bacterium. Its description in RNAcentral is "partial 16S ribosomal RNA". It matches the Rfam family "Bacterial small subunit ribosomal RNA", at positions 29 to 507 of the family's 1533-position model. The record is from RNAcentral.
ACGAACGCUGGCGGCGUGCUUAACACAUGCAAGUCGAACGGAAAGGCCCUGCUUUUGUGGGGUGCUCGAGUGGCGAACGGGUGAGUAACACGUGAGUAACCUGCCCUUGACUUUGGGAUAACUUCAGGAAACUGGGGCUAAUACCGGAUAGGAGCUCCUGCUGCAUGGUGGGGGUUGGAAAGUUUCGGCGGUUGGGGAUGGACUCGCGGCUUAUCAGCUUGUUGGUGGGGUAGUGGCUUACCAAGGCUUUGACGGGUAGCCGGCCUGAGAGGGUGACCGGCGACAUUGGGACUGAGAUACGGAGCAGUCUCCUACGGGAGGCAGCAGUGGGGAAUAUUGCACAAUGGGCGGAAGCGUGAUGCAGCAACGCCGCGUGCGGGAUGACGGCCUUCGGGUUGUAAACCGCUUUCGCCUGUGACGAAGCGUGAGUGACGGUAAUGGGUAAAGAAGCACCGGCUAACUACGUG